Molecule: ribosomal RNA, 467 nt
Filed under: uncultured bacterium
Lineage: Bacteria
Description: partial 16S ribosomal RNA
Rfam family: Bacterial small subunit ribosomal RNA
Source: RNAcentral
GACGAACGCUGGCGGCGUGCUUAACACAUGCAAGUCGAACGGAGAGGCCCUGCUUUUGUGGGGUGCUCGAGUGGCGAACGGGUGAGUAACACGUGAGUAACCUGCCCUUGACUUUGGGAUAACUUCAGGAAACUGGGGCUAAUACCGGAUAGGAGCUCCUGCUGCAUGGUGGGGGUUGGAAAGUUUCGGCGGUUGGGGAUGGACUCGCGGCUUAUCAGCUUGUUGGUGGGGUAGUGGCUUACCAAGGCUUUGACGGGUAGCCGGCCUGAGAGGGUGACCGGCCACAUUGGGACUGAGAUACGGCCCAGACUCCUACGGGAGGCAGCAGUGGGGAAUAUGGCACAAUGGGCGGAAGCCUGAUGCAGCAACGCCGCGUGCGGGAUGACGGCCUUCGGGUGGUAAACCGCUUUCGCCUGUGACGAAGCGUGAGUGACGGUAAUGGGUAAAGAAGCACCGGCUAACUACGU